UACGAAGGGGGCUAGCGUUGCUCGGAAUUACUGGGCGUAAAGCGCACGUAGGCGGCUUGUUAAGUCAGGGGUGAAAUCCUGGAGCUCAACUCCAGAACUGCCUUCGAUACUGGAAGACUCGAGUCCGGGAGAGGUGAGUGGAACUGCGAGUGUAGAGGUGAAAUUCGUAGAUAUUCGCAAGAACACCAGUGGCGAAGGCGGCUCACUGGCCCGGUACUGACGCUGAGGUGCGAAAGCGUGGGGAGCAAACAGGG
RNAcentral lists this ribosomal RNA (254 nucleotides) under uncultured bacterium. RNAcentral describes it as "partial 16S ribosomal RNA". It matches the Rfam family "Bacterial small subunit ribosomal RNA", at positions 524 to 777 of the family's 1533-position model. The record is from RNAcentral.